Molecule: ribosomal RNA, 253 nt
Filed under: uncultured bacterium
Lineage: Bacteria
Description: partial 16S ribosomal RNA
Rfam family: Bacterial small subunit ribosomal RNA
Source: RNAcentral
UACGUAGGGUGCGAGCGUUGUCCGGAAUUGCUGGGCGUAAAGAGCUCGUAGGUGGUUUGUCGCGUUGUUCGUGAAAACCGGGGGCUUAACCCUCGGCGUGCGGGCGAUACGGGCAGACUUGAGUACUGCAGGGGAGACUGGAAUUCCUGGUGUAGCGGUGGAAUGCGCAGAUAUCAGGAGGAACACCGGUGGCGAAGGCGGGUCUCUGGGCAACAACUGACGCUGAGGAGCGAAAGCGUGGGGAGCGAACAGG